Molecule: ribosomal RNA, 753 nt
Filed under: uncultured Actinomycetes bacterium
Lineage: Bacteria; Bacillati; Actinomycetota; Actinomycetes
Description: bacterial SSU rRNA
Rfam family: Bacterial small subunit ribosomal RNA
Source: RNAcentral
AGCACCUUCGGGUGUGAAUUAGCGGCGAACGGGUGAGGAACACGUGAGAAAUCUGCCUUCAACUCUGGGAUAACUCCGUGAAAACGGGGCUAAUACCGGAUAUGAGAUCUACAGGCAUCUGUGGAUCUGGAAAGUUUUUCGGUUGAAGAUGAUCUCGCGGCCUAUCAGCUUGUUGGUGAGGUAAUGGCUCACCAAGGCGACGACGGGUAGCCGGCCUGAGAGGGCGACCGGCCACACUGGGACUGAGACACGGCCCAGACUCCUACGGGAGGCAGCAGUGGGGAAUAUUGGGCAAUGGAGGAAACUCUGACCCAGCGACGCCGCGUGCGGGAUGAAGGCCUUCGGGUUGUAAACCGCUUUCAGCAGGGAAGAAGCGAAAGUGACGGUACCUGCAGAAGAAGCACCGGCUAACUAUGUGCCAGCAGCCGCGGUAAUACAUAGGGUGCAAGCGUUGUCCGGAAUUAUUGGGCGUAAAGAGCUCGUAGGUGGUUCGUCACGUCGGAUGUGAAACUCUGGGGCUUAACCCCAGACCUGCAUUCGAUACGGGCGAGCUUGAGUAUGGUAGGGGAGUCUGGAAUUCCUGGUGUAGCGGUGGAAUGCGCAGAUAUCAGGAGGAACACCAAUGGCGAAGGCAGGACUCUGGGCCAUUACUGACACUGAGGAGCGAAAGCGUGGGGAGCGAACAGGAUUAGAUACCCUGGUAGUCCACGCCGUAAACGGUGGGCACUAGUUGUGGGGACCUUCCACGGUCUC